Candidatus Thiomargarita nelsonii is the source of this 194-nucleotide non-coding RNA. NCBI's taxonomy places the organism in Bacteria, Pseudomonadati, Pseudomonadota, Gammaproteobacteria, Thiotrichales, Thiotrichaceae. The record is from Rfam.
AUAGUUCCUAAAUCUAUAGAUGUUUAUUUAUAGACAUGGAGCUAACAGCGGGCUACGCAAGAAGUUAGAUAGGUCAUCACACCCGCUGAUGUGAUUCCAGUCGGUCGCUCUGUGGUCCGGCAUUAAGGGUAGCGGAAACGUGAAUGUGUGCCGGAUGUAAAAAACCUUUUUAACAACCGCGAGGAGUACUUUAC